Molecule: ribosomal RNA, 115 nt
Filed under: Labrus bergylta (ballan wrasse)
Lineage: Eukaryota; Metazoa; Chordata; Actinopteri; Labriformes; Labridae
Source: RNAcentral
GCUUACGGCCAUACCAACCUGAACACGCCCGAUCUCGUCAGAUCUCGGAAGCUAAGCAGGGUCGGCCUGGUAGUACUUGGAUGGGAGACGCCUGGGAAUACCAGUGCUGUAAGCU